This 369-nucleotide ribosomal RNA is filed under the name Triticum aestivum (bread wheat). Its description in RNAcentral is "partial small subunit ribosomal RNA". The record is from RNAcentral. Lineage: Eukaryota; Viridiplantae; Streptophyta; Magnoliopsida; Poales; Poaceae.
GAGAAGCUUUCCCGCACGAACUACUUGCUGUGGCGCACACAGAUCACACCCCAACUGCGUGGCGCCGGUGUCUUCGGCUUCAUGGAUGGCACAUCACCAGAGCCGGCCAAGCUCCUCGCCGCCAAGGACAAGGACGGCAAGGAGACGUUCGUGCCCAACCCUCUCCACCCUAUAUGGGUCCGAGAGGACCAGCAAGUGCUCGGCUACCUGCUGAGCAACCUCUCCAAGGAGGUGCUGGUCACGGUGACCACAGUCACCAUGGCGCAUGCGCUCUGGACGACGCUGGCGGGCAUGCACUCGUCACAGUCGCUGAGCCGCGUCAACAACAUCCGUACCUCCCUCAUGAGGGUCAUCUCAUGGCACAUAUGA